AAAGCUGUGCUAAUACCGCAUACGCCCUGAGGGGGAAAGCGGGGGACCGAAAGACCUCGCGCGAUUAGAGCGGCCGAUGCCUGAUUAGCUAGUUGGUGGGGUAAAAGCCCACCAAGGCGACGAUCAGUAGCUGGUCUGAGAGGACGAUCAGCCACACUGGGACUGAGACACGGCCCAGACUCCUACGGGAGGCAGCAGUGGGGAAUUUUGGACAAUGGGGGCAACCCUGAUCCAGCAAUGCCGCGUGAGUGAAGAAGGCCUUCGGGUUGUAAAGCUCUUUUGUCAGGGAAGAAACACCGGCUCUAACACAGUCCGGGAAUGACGGUACCUGAAGAAUAAGCACCGGCUAACUACGUGCCAGC
RNAcentral lists this ribosomal RNA (362 nucleotides) under uncultured beta proteobacterium. RNAcentral describes it as "bacterial SSU rRNA". It matches the Rfam family "Bacterial small subunit ribosomal RNA", at positions 154 to 512 of the family's 1533-position model. Lineage: Bacteria; Pseudomonadati; Pseudomonadota; Betaproteobacteria. The record is from RNAcentral.